GGCUUAGAGUUUGAUCAUGGCUCAGGACGAACGCUGGCGGCGCGCCUAACACAUGCAAGUCGAACGGGGUUGAGAGGAGCUUGCUUUUCUUGACUUAGUGGCGAACGGGUGAGUAACGCGUGAGGAACCUGCCUCAAAGAGGGGGACAACAGUUGGAAACGACUGCUAAUACCGCAUAAGCCCACGGGGCCGCAUGGCUCUGAGGGAAAAGGAGCAAUCCGCUUUGAGAUGGCCUCGCGUCCGAUUAGCUGGUUGGUGAGGUAACGGCCCACCAAGGCGACGAUCGGUAGCCGGACUGAGAGGUUGAACGGCCACAUUGGGACUGAGACACGGCCCAGACUCCUACGGGAGGCAGCAGUGGGGAGUAUUGCACAAUGGGGGAAACCCUGAUGCAGCGACGCCGCGUGGAGGAAGAAGGUCUUCGGAUUGUAAACUCCUGUUGUUGGGGAAAAGAAGGAUGGUACCCAACAAGGAAGUGACGGCUAACUACGUGCCAGCAGCCGCGGUAAAACGUAGGUCACGAGCGUUGUCCGGAAUUACUGGGUGUAAAGGGAGCGCAGGCGGGUAUGCAAGUUGGGAGUGAAAUACAUGGGCUCAACCCAUGAACUGCUCUCAAAACUGUGUAUCUUGAGUAGUGCAGAGGUAGGCG
This 649-nucleotide ribosomal RNA is filed under the name uncultured organism. RNAcentral's name for it is "bacterial SSU rRNA". It matches the Rfam family "Bacterial small subunit ribosomal RNA", at positions 1 to 663 of the family's 1533-position model. The record is from RNAcentral.